AUACGGAGGGAGCAAGCGUUAUUCGGAAUCACUGGGCGUAAAGGACGCGUAGGCGGGUUUGUAAGUCAGGUGUGAAAUCCUACAGCUCAACUGUAGAACUGCACUUGAAACUACAGACCUAGAGUAUGGAAGGGGCAGAUGGAAUUAGUGGUGUAGGGGUAAAAUCCGUAGAUAUCACUAGGAAUACCGAAAGCGAAGGCGAUCUGCUGGGACAUUACUGACGCUGAGGCGUGAAAGCGUGGAGAGCAAACAGGAUUAGAAACCCCGGUAGUCC
Molecule: ribosomal RNA, 274 nt
Filed under: uncultured bacterium
Lineage: Bacteria
Description: partial 16S ribosomal RNA
Rfam family: Bacterial small subunit ribosomal RNA
Source: RNAcentral